This 459-nucleotide ribosomal RNA is filed under the name uncultured bacterium. RNAcentral describes it as "bacterial SSU rRNA". It matches the Rfam family "Bacterial small subunit ribosomal RNA", at positions 28 to 485 of the family's 1533-position model. The record is from RNAcentral.
GAUGAACGCUGGCGGCGUGCUUAACACAUGCAAGUCGAACGAAACACCUUAUUUGAUUUUCUUCGGAACUGAAGAUUUGGUGAUUGAGUGGCGGACGGGUGAGUAACGCGUGGGUAACCUGCCCUGUACAGGGGGAUAACAGUCAGAAAUGACUGCUAAUACCGCAUAAGACCACAGCACCGCAUGGUGCAGGGGUAAAAACUCCGGUGGUACAGGAUGGACCCGCGUCUGAUUAGCUGGUUGGUGAGGUAACGGCUCACCAAGGCGACGAUCAGUAGCCGGCUUGAGAGAGUGAACGGCCACAUUGGGACUGAGACACGGCCCAAACUCCUACGGGAGGCAGCAGUGGGGAAUAUUGCACAAUGGGGGAAACCCUGAUGCAGCGACGCCGCGUGAGUGAAGAAGUAUCUCGGUAUGUAAAGCUCUAUCAGCAGGGAAGAAAAUGACGGUACCUGACUA